RNAcentral lists this non-coding RNA (23 nucleotides) under Arabidopsis thaliana (thale cress). Lineage: Eukaryota; Viridiplantae; Streptophyta; Magnoliopsida; Brassicales; Brassicaceae. The record is from RNAcentral.
UAAAGAUGUAUCUGGACAGUGGU